AAUUCGAGGACGAAUUCAGUGUAACGGGGUAGACUUGUAACGACCGCAUCCCGCGUUCAUAAAGAGGCAGGUUUGUUUUAGGAGAAAACUAGAUCAUGGUCGAGGAAUGGAACAAAAUACUAAGUAGGAAGAACGAGAAAGUAUAAGCUAAACCAGCUAGGUGAGCUGGACAAGCUGUAUGAACUAGCUAGGUAAGCUAUGUGAGCUAAACCAGCUGGAAGACUAGCUAGCUCUGCUAGGUGAGCUGACCGACAGCUCAACUGAGCUCGGUGAGCUGAUCAAGUACUGACCCAGCUGGGUGGUCCGGUCAGCUGACACUCGAGCUGGUGGACUGUGGUAGCUCACGGGUGAAGAGGUGUCUCGGCCAAAAGGUGUAAGGUCGAGCGGGUACCAACGAACGGUUGCAUCGCCCAAAAGAUGCAAGGAACAUAUGUGACCUUUCGAAAGGAUGCAAGGAACGGAUGUGACCUUUCGGAGGGGUGCAAGGAACGGAUGUGAUGCUUCGGGAAGCAUCCAUUCGCCCCCUAUAUAAGGGAGGACGCCCAAGGCAUCUCACAUCAUCUCACAACAUCCAAAACACCAUAAAACAUUCUUAAAGGAGUCCCAACACAUCCUAGAGUUGUUGGUCGGAAAGGGGGUGCGGCUCGGCGAGUAUAACUCGACCGAACUGAUGCGCAUGCUACCUCCCGGUCCAACGGUUCGAUGGAGUGUAGAGGAUGGAGAGGGUAGACCGUUCGUCUUAGAGACGAAUCGGAUCCGAUAGACCGAUCGUUGGAUCGGAUCGGCCAGACCGAUCAUCAGACGGAUCGGAUCGGCCAGACGGAUCGGACAGACCGAUCGUCGGACGGGUCGGAUGGGACAGGCCGAUCGUCUGACGGAACGGGUCGGACAGACCGAUCGUCGGAUGGGAUGGAUCUAAUUGACGUAUUGGCCAAUCGAGACCAACAUGAACAUUGAGAACAGUUCGUAUUGUCGCCGGCUUGACCAUCGGACUGAACGUCUCUGUGAAAUCAACACCGGCUUCCUGUGAUUUUCCAUUAGCAACUAAUCUUGCUUUGUGACGAGUUAUGCUGCCAUCUGCAUCAUAUUUAUGUUUAAACAGCCACAUAGAUCUUACAAUAUUGACCUUAGG
Molecule: small RNA, 1132 nt
Filed under: Arabidopsis thaliana (thale cress)
Lineage: Eukaryota; Viridiplantae; Streptophyta; Magnoliopsida; Brassicales; Brassicaceae
Description: ATSL173730
Source: RNAcentral